RNAcentral lists this ribosomal RNA (253 nucleotides) under uncultured bacterium. RNAcentral's name for it is "partial 16S ribosomal RNA". It matches the Rfam family "Bacterial small subunit ribosomal RNA", at positions 524 to 776 of the family's 1533-position model. The record is from RNAcentral.
UACAGAGGGUGCGAGCGUUAAUCGGAAUUACUGGGCGUAAAGGGCGCGUAGGCGGUUAAUUAAGUUGGAUGUGAAAUCCCUGGGCUUAACCUAGGAACUGCAUACAAUACUGGUUAACUAGAGUGCUGUAGAGGAUAGUGGAAUUUCCGGUGUAGCGGUGAAAUGCGUAGAUAUCGGAAGGAACACCAGUGGCGAAGGCGGCUAUCUGGACAGACACUGACGCUGAGGCGCGAAAGCGUGGGGAGCAAACAGG